CAAAUACCCUACUUUUAAUUGUAAAGGUUAGAAAACUGAGUAAAUAAGGUUUGGACUGUCGUAAAUUUAGUCAGGUCUCUUAUACAUAGGAUAACUGAUUGAUCCUCGACAUACAUAAACUUAACUUGGUCUGUAUUAGUAUCCAAAAUACACUGACAGUCCAUAGUCCAUACAGGGUUGUAUUUUUCAGAUAACCUUCAUGUAUUUUACUAGUUAAAAUAUCACAUGGGAGAGAUUCUCAUUUUACAUAUUUUUUAACACAACAUAAAUAGAUAUACAAACUACGAUCAUUAUAGAACCUCUCUGUGGAGAUGGACAUCCUUCUCCCCGAAUCUCCGUCACCAUACAACCACUACUGCUGCAGGUCAGUGGGUCACAGACCAUAUGAAAUCCCCAUCCCUAUGCUACAUUAAUAAAUUAAAAUGUGGCAACCUUACACUACAAGGCUCAAGCUACAACCAUCUCAGGCCUGUUCGAAACUUAGAAUCAGCAGAGCAUCAUCAGCAGAAAUCACCAACCCAGGAACUCCAAAGCAGAUACAAAGCAUCAUCAAACCAAGCCAUCCCACUCCUACAUAAUUUUACGAACAUUCUUAAGCAGCAACUAGAUUAUACAGUGUUUAUUUUCAGCCCAUAAAAAAAAGGUGACUGCCUGAGGGGGCCAAUAUAGAUGUAUAAAUAAAUGGUGCAACUAGUAUAAAAAAAGGAUUCAAGUGUUUGUUUACACCGAUGACUCUAAUCAUAAGAGGGCCACAAGAGGACCACCUUUGAGAUACCAGCAAUAAGAAGUUAAAGGUGUUUGGUUAGGACUUGGGAAGUUGGGAGUUAUUAUAUUCAGCAUUUUCUGAUUUUGAGUUGCAAUCAAAAGUUUUGUUCCAGCACAAAUGUCAUGCUUAGCGCUUGUUCUGAACACUGAGUUCACAUGAGUGAAUCAGCUUUCAAUGCAAACAAACACAGGAAAACACACGUAUCCAUGAGUGAGUCUAAUCGUGGAGGGAAUCAGAUACGAUCCACACAGAAAAUCAAUAAAAAAAUGUUCCUUUUAUGGACCAAGUGAAGUAACAGCAAAAGCCAAGGAUUUGGAUUACCCUUUGUUCAAUUGUAAAAUUAGGCAUGCCCCCAUUCGAGAAAAUAUUAGAUAUAUCCCCAUUUUGUGAAGUGGCACCAUCUGAGCCAUCCAUCAUAUGGCUACAAUUAUCUUCACCUUGCUUGAAAUGUGGGGUAUGUCUACUUUUUUUUCAAAUUGGGGUAUGUCUAUUUUUUUCAAAUUGGAGCAAGUCCAAAUUUAGAGUAAUAGCGGUCUAAGCAAUUGACAACAACUGUUUAGCCACUAUGUAGUGUGUUGCUAUAUGAACACAGUGGCAAAACACAUUUUAAAGUCGGACAAGUUAUUGUAAAUGUACCAAAACCCCUUUUCUAAAAGUAGGUUAUAUAGAUUUUCCCUAUUAACCCAGGUUUGGUCCAUGAAAGAUGUAUAACUCUAUCAAAUUAGGCUUUGUAAUCCAAUAAACCAUAUCCAACCAUGCCAGCAAAUAAAUACUCUGACAAAUUUAGUAAAGUCAAUUGAAAUCGAAAACACCAUAAUGCAUAUCCAACAUUCAACAUGAGUCUUUUAAGAGAUAAACUUUGCUUUCUAGAAAAUGAUGUCAUGUUUUCACUGUGUCCAAAUGAAGUCUGAAAAAUAGCAGCAUAUAAAUAAGUAUCUGUGUGUGUGAGCGUAUGUGAUCAAACUAUCAAAGCAUCAAAAAAAUGCAGAAAUAUGCAUUGAGGACUUGCAAACCCAUUCGUUGAGGUGUAAAAUGAACAGAGUUUAAAAUGACUUUCUUUAGCAAAAGAAUCCAUUUAGAUUGGAUUUGGCACAUGACCAAUUCUUUCCAUAGCUUACAAGUGAUAUACUAUGUAAUCAGGUACCUAUUGUUUUGUGCGCAUGCAAAGAGGGCACUAAGAAAGAAAGUUGUAUUUUAUAGUACUAAGAUUGUCAGGGGUGAUAUAACUGAUUUGUGCCCAUUCAUACUUAUGACUUUGAAAUCCAUGAAUGUGCUUAAUUCAAAUGGGAGACACUGUGUAUAAUAUACUUUUUGAGAUUUUAAGAAUGACUUGAAAAGGAAAAUAUAAAUCAUACAACAUGUAAGUAGAUGGAUAAAAAGAUAGGUAUAAAUGUAAGUACCUGUAAAUAUAAAGAUAUUCAGUUCCAGACAGCCCAAACAAAUUUGAACCAAUACCCCAACAAAGAUGCCGGCCUCAUUAUCUCCACUUGCACACAAAGGUUAAAGGGUAACUAUUCACGGUAACACUUCAUGCACAUAGCAUGGUUGUAAUUGGGCUAUCCAUUUUACUAUUCAUCUCCAUGCAAAUUCUACAAUCUUCUUCUUGUUCAAUAUCGAUAUCUGAAAACUGCUUGUACCUUUCAGAACACACUGCCUGUACCUUUCUGUUUUUGUUCACCAGAGAGCAUAAGAGACCAACUGUAGAUUUAAAACUUUAGUUUGCAUAGCAAAUGAAAUCACUAAAAACACACUCAUAAUGAACCUUGUAUGCAAGAUUUAUCAAAGCUAUGCAAAGCAGCCAGUACCAGAGCAUAUAACUGAAGUACUAACAUCAAUUCAUCACAAUAGCUCUUGUUCAUUCCUAAACCACCUCAAAAUAACCUACAAACAUUUAAAAAUCACAAUUCAAUUCGAAUUUGUGUAUAUAUACCUUGUUGUACAUAUUCAAGUUAGGAAUCAGAGUUAAUAUUUUGUGUAUAUAUACCUUGUUGUACAUCAAAACCAUUAUUUCAAAGAACCUUGAAUCGAAGAGAAACCAUGUAUAAAUCGCCAUCUAACCAUUGAACCUGUUUUUCAAGUUGUCGUCGUCGGUUAACCUGUUUUCAAAACUGAAAAUGGUGUCAAAUUGAGCUUUUGUAUGAAGAGAUAGAGGAGGAGAUUUAUUCUAUUUAGUUGAACACACGGCAAAAUGAUCCAUCUAAAUAUCCCCACUAAACCUUUAAAAAAAGACUUAUUAUCUGUAGGUAAUUGGAUUGUAAGUACCAUUUUAUAUCAAGAAAAUAAAAUCUGGAAUAAAUCCAACUUCUAAAAACAACUAUCACAACAUAGAAAAUUAAGGUCAUCAACAAAACCAUUAUUCACAGAUCCAUCCACAUAAAACCCUUUGAACCCAUUUUCAAUCAAACAAAAACUCAUCAAACCCAUAUCUCAGAUCAUCAAAUGAAACUCAAAUUCAGCAAAAUGAAACAGAAAAUCUUCUAAGAGAACAUAGAACAAAACAAAUUUAGUCCUUUUACAAACAGAUAGAAAGAGAGGAUAAGAGAAAUCUUACAGAUAAUCAUUUUAACAGAAGUCUGGGGGAGGAAUGAAAUGACAAAAUCUCUGAGUCCCUUUUCCUGCGAAUUUCACAAACGAAUAUCAAUUAAUACAACGAAGGUCCCCCUAAAAAAAACAUGAUUUAAAGUAAACUGAAUAUUAACCCAAACCUAAUAAAAACAUCAUGAUCAGAAACUCUGAUGAAUUCCAAAACCCGUUUAGAAAUAAAAAGUGAACGAAUUUGGAGUGAGAUUAAAAACAUCAUGAUUAGAAGGAUCGGCAAAAGCGCAAACCCUUUUAGAAUAAAUAAAAUUAAACAAAUUUGGAGUGAAAUUAAGUUGAUCUUAGUAUUGGGCAUGAAUCUAAGUUUAUAAUUAUUAAUAAAAAAAAAUUAUGUAGCACCAAUGCUUUUGCCCUGUGCCUAAGGAAGGUGGUCUAGACACAUGCCGCUACUGGGGGUUGAGCAACAAUUUG
Molecule: long non-coding RNA, 3775 nt
Filed under: Aquilegia coerulea
Lineage: Eukaryota; Viridiplantae; Streptophyta; Magnoliopsida; Ranunculales; Ranunculaceae
Description: long non-coding RNA (ACOE_LNC000015)
Source: RNAcentral